Odontomachus brunneus is the source of this 10900-nucleotide long non-coding RNA. RefSeq lists it as uncharacterized. The record is from RefSeq and is a predicted model, not a curated record. The transcript has 6 exons. NCBI's taxonomy places the organism in Eukaryota, Metazoa, Arthropoda, Insecta, Hymenoptera, Formicidae.
ACCCGGGUUCGAAUCCCAGCCUAGGACAGCGCUCUCGAUAUUUUUUUCUUUCUGGAACGAAAAAGAUACGCAGAUCUCGAACGCACGGCGUCCCGCCGCCACCUAGUAUGCCCUCCUCCUUCUAUGGUGCCGCAUUACUCUGUGUUGAGUUUGGGACUACUUCGGGACAGAUGCCGGACGAGGCGGGAAUGGAUCAUUCUCUCAAAUAACUCCGCCGCCUUGUCCAGUAGGCAUAUUGGCCUAAAUGCGGAAGGGAUUUUUCGCGCCUAACCCCCUUCCUUAAGAGGACCAGCUUGGCCUUCUUCCAAGGUCUGGGGAAUACCGCAGUCCCUAAACAGGAGGUGAAGAGCCGCAUUAGGCGGCCUUCCACCUCUCGAAUGGCCAGGGCCCAUACCGUGCUCGGGAUGCCGUCUGGGCCCAGCCUUUUACCUUUGGCGCCGAGCCUCUUGACGGCUCCGGCCAUCUCCAUUCCGGUGACCCCGACGUCCUCCCCAUCCGCAUCUAAGGGAGGGACCUCAUAGGGGGGUAUAUUGUUAUCCCCACGCGGAAAGAGGGCCCCCACGAUCUCAUCAAGGAGGCCGAAGUCCGACUCCAUUGGUAGGGGUGCUCACGGGCGCAAGCGCUUCAUCACAGUGUGAUAGGGGCGUCUCUACGGGUCCCUGUCGAUGGUGGAGACCAGAUUCUCCCAGGCACGGGCCUUGGUCGUAGUUAUGGCUGCCUUGAGGGCUUCCCGCGUUUCGCGGUAGACCCCCCGGCGGACAUCCGUCCUAUCUCACCGGUCCGUGUCCCUCCUGGCAUGAACGGCGGAGCAUCUAAAUUCGGCAAUCUCCGCCGUCCAUCAGAAUACGGAUCGGCGGGGGUGUGGCCGGGACCGAGGCAUUGCGACAUCGCACGUAUCCACCAUCAUGCCCCAGAUUACAGCCGCCUCUUCCUCGAUGGCUUGACAUGUCCUCCGGAGGGGGACCCGGCUUAAUCCAUAAGGCCGUCUUUAAGGCGGUCACCAGCAACUCGCAGUCGAACUUUGCGAGGGCCCAUCUUCGCAGUCGGGCAGCCUCUUGGUCGCGCCUCAGUGUACCUUUUCCGAGGUGGCGACCAGUCGGACCUCGAUGUAGCAAUGGUUCAAAACGAGGUUCAGGUUUUUAACCUCGAUCACCACUCUCCAACUCGUUACGAGCCGGGCUGCGGGGGGAGAUGCCAACAUGACAUCUAUCACCAACUGACCCCGCGGCCCGACAAAGGCGCUCCUUCGGCCCCUAUUUAAGACACUGAGGCCGAAAGACGCGACCUAUUCUUCCAAGUCUGUGCUCCCGGAUGACCGAGGAUCUCCACAACGGCGAUUCUGCAUUGAAGUCUCCGUGCACCAGGACCGGCCUGUGGAGGUGUCUGUUAGCCGGCGCAAAAACUCCUCAAAGUGGGUGCUGUUUUAGGAAGGUCGGGCGCAAACCCGGACCACGCCCAAGGCCCCCCAUUCGACCGCGACAUAUCUCUUUUUGCUCUCCACCACGGAGAAGGGAAAGAAGUUUGCGCUCCAGAAGAUCGCUAUCGAGCACCCUCCAGACCGCAACGCCACCCGUUAUGCAUGGGCGAUACCUCCGGGGAUGUAGCAGGGCCCGGCGGCAGCCCCCAAUCCCGCAUCGGGCUUGUGGAGAUAUUGCAGGAACAAGUCCUGCGCUGCUUGAGCGCGAUUAAGGUUGGCCUGGAGGAGUAGGGUAGCCAUCGCAAUCUGGCUCCCCGCUUUCCUCCUCCAGGCCCUGCCUUACUUUUGCCGCGACCGAGGACCCCUGUCGAUCCGCGGCACUCCAUUCCCUUUGGCAUUGGUCUUUCGCGAACUCCUCUGUUUUUUCUGAGCAGGGUCCAGGACCUCGGAUUGAGAUUCAUCUCCUUUUGACACGGGGGGAAGAUCCCUUUCCUUUUUCUUCUCUGGGAGCUUGGGGGAGACGUGUUGGAGGACUUCCACCUUCUCCCUCCCUUAUCCCCCUUCCCCUUUUUGCCUUCGGACACACGGGUUCGCCCACUCUGUGGCCAUAGGGCUUGUGAGCGUCGCGACACACCGGAUAGCUCACUGGUGCAUUGCACGCGGCAGCCCUGCGACCGGCCGAACCGUAGUGGUAACGAAGACUAUUGCGGUCGGUCUUGCCCUUGCACAUAGCCCUGACAUGGCCCUACUCUAGGCAUCUAAAGCACUGAAGCGGGCGCCGUGCCAGUGCCUCUACGCGGACAGAGGACCAUCCAACCCGGAUGCGUGCUCUGUCCACGAUUUUUCUGGCGAUCACAAGGGGACACUAUAACCACAGCGUCCUCGCAUGGUCAGUGCUAGGUUUGACUUCAGUGGCCCUUAUAUCCCUGGACCCGCAGCCUCCGGCGACGGUCACCGCGGAGACGUCUUCAACAGCGACCGAAUCGCCGAGGUCGCGGCCCGGUUGCUGGCCCUCCUCGCCGGAUGCGCGUUUCGCACUCCGCGAGGAGUCCUUGUCAGCGAAGAAGGCCGACAUUUUACCGGCCAGGACGUCCGCCUCGGCUUGUCCUUCGGAACUGGGGAUCCCAAGCACUAGGGCGCCGGCGGCCAUCCUGGUGCAGAUCUCCCCUAUCCCGAUCUCCCUAAAGUCAAUGUUGUCCCUCGCCCGCCGCACGAUGUCCGCGUAGCUGCCUAUUGGGCAGUUUACGGCUGGAGCAGCGGCACGAGGAACCCUAGGUAUGGCCUUAACUGGCUUCCCGCCCUUGGCCUAGGAGCUCUUGUCCUUCUCCCUCCUGUUUUCCUCGGCCACCGGCUUUUGUUGCCACAGUUUCUGAGGAUCGGGUUGAGGGGAUUGCGUAGCCCCUCUUCCACCUUUUCUCUACCUUCUCCCCAUCACACAGGAUCAGGAUUUGGACUCGGUAGCAGAGAAGAAAUUGGAGGCACUUUCGGACCUUGGUCUGGUCCAGGACGUGGCGCCCUCUCCUCCGCAGGUGCAUUGGGCGACACGCAGGAACGUGUCGCCCUGCCUGCUCUUUUUCUUUUUUUUCCUCCCCUUCCGGUCUUCCCCGCCGGGCUGAUUUGGCGGAGGCGGAAGCGGGAGAAGAUGGGGCGGGAGGCAGAUUCCGCUUCUUGCAGCCAUCUCCCGCCCCCAUCUAUCCUGUCCCCGCGCUCGGGAUUCCCCCGAUCCCGCGAAGAUUGAAGUCGCGGCCGCUUGGGUGGGACCACCCCAUGUCUCCCAAGAUUUGAGGAACAAGAGCCUUCACCAAGACCUCUAUUUCUUCUCUAUCUCGCUCCGUCGUUCAUCUGGAGGCCUGUCUCCGACAGGGAGGGGGUCGGUCCACUCCCGCGGCAUUCACUGGUUCCUGUUUAGCGGCCGGGUCCUUUCGAUUCUUAUCGGUUUUUUCCGAUCGAUGGAUUUCGCAUUGUGGGUGUGGUGGUUGACGGGGGAGAGCGUUCUCUGCGCAAUAUUCUUUUUCACUUUCUUCUCGGAGAUCCUCCCCACCUCUGCUAGAGAAAGCGAUCGGCGACGGUCGAUGUCCCCACUCUCCAUCUCCACCCGUAUCUUUUUCCUACUCUCAGAGGAGAAAGUGGACAACAGAUUCUCUUGCCCCAUCCCCCGACCUCUUCUUGGGGUUGAGAGUGCGGAAGAAAAAGACACUUUUUCUCGUUAAGGUAGGAGAAAUGCGUUACGUAUACCCGCGACCCUCGGGGAAAGAUCGCGGGUUAUAUAGGACUCUCCUCCGCCUUAUACGCGGAAGCAUACCCAUUAAAACCCCUGUCGGUCUCGUCCUCAGCGGCCAUAAUGGGAGCACCCCGGGAACCGUUUUUGCAUUACUUCCGGGGUACUCUCGGCCUCCAUUUGUCGGACUUUCCGGACCGGGGUUUUUUGUUUCCCGAACCGGUUCUUUACCUUAUUACGACAAGAAGUGGGACCCUCUGUCUCGCCGCGCUCUCCCCUGGCUGUGGAUUGGGUUAAGACGGGAUCCUAAUUUCCCGCUCGGACCCCGUCCCUCGUUGGCAUCUUGACCGAUUAGGGGGCGAAGUGAGGGCUUUGUGUGUACCUUUCUUCCCUUUUAGGGUCAGGACGCCGUAGCUGAGGGAGGGAGAGGCGACCUCUUUUGUGAAAUCGUUCUCUCCUUCUGCGCCUUGCAUAUAUAUCGGCUGUGGGGGGACUCCGUCGCCGCCUAUUGGCUACGGCGGCGUCGCAUCUGCUUUCAGGAGUGUUGUUUCGCUAGGUGUUAAACUAGGUGUUAACACUUUGGCCCCCCAUGGGGCCCCAGUUGCCUCCGGGAGGUCACCGAGCGUAGGGACCGUUACACAACAGGUCUUUAUAUCAACUCCCUACGCGUUUUCCCUCGAUGCCGCAUUUAUGCGCGGGGAAUGGAAAGACUUUUCUCUUCCUACGCCUCCCACUUAUCUCUUCCUCAGUUUCGCUUUUUUGGCGCCUCUCUUCCUCUUUCCGCGACAUGAAGUUAUCGCAGAAGGAGGUGAUAGCGGACCAAGUCUCCUUUCUCCAUAACAUGGUUUUGAUAAUGGCCAGGGGAGAGAGAGGUCUGCUCCCAUCACGCCUGUUAGGACCCGACGCUGUUUCACCUAGGAGGGACACUUCUUCAGUGUGUGCUGCGCCGAGUCCACUGUGGCGUUGCAGUGAUGGCAGCGGGUGGUGUACUCCUUUUUUAUCCUCUGCAGGUACUCACCGAAACAGCCAUACCCGGUGAGUACCUGCGUGGUUCGGAAGGAUAACUUUCCCUUGGCUCUGCCUAUCCAUUCCAGUAGACAGGAUUGGAUGGUUUCGGCGACCCUACUUCUCGAGCGAUCCGUCGCCUCUCCUAGGGACAUUUGCCACAUCUGGAGAAAAUAUUGACAUACCGCCUUGCGCAUAUGCCCAAUGGCCCUGACUAAGUUCUCACGAUCUCCCCCUUGUAGGAGUUUCUUUGUACGCCUGCACGUCUUGGUGUGCACCCGAACAAGAAACCUUAUUCGGGGAAGGCCCGCCAGAGCUGUGGCGGCCAUAUACGACGUGGUUUUAUAAGCGCGGGUGAGACUGCAAUCCAGCGAUGUGACUGGUUAACCAGCGCUUUAUGCGCUGGCUCACCGCCAUCUCCCCCGCCCAGAUACGUAACCCAUAAAAGGCGACCGAGUGGACUACGUUGACAUACAGCUACCGUGCUUUCUUUUUGGGGCUGUCGAGAUUGGGCAAGAGGCCGCCUAGUGCGUUUGCUACCCUGCCCAAUUUGGGAGCCAGGACCUCAAAGUGUCGCUCAAACCCCCAAGUGCCAUGCAGGGUGAGUUCCAAGUAUUCAGCUCGGGACCCAUCAUCACGAGAGUUUCUCUUGUCCGGACCUGGGCCCUCGAUAAGUCCCUUCCUUGACCUGUCAGGUAUGAACAUAACAUCGGUCUUUUGAGAGGCCACCUUGAGGUCUAUCCUCAGUAUGGAGCACACCAUUUAAUCCGAUGCGAACUGCCCGAGGACUAGGACUUUGCUCCAAUCCCUUCCCCCGGCCAGCAUCAAUGUCGUUUGCAUAGCAGACGGUGGUACAGCAGGGGCGAAGAGCUGAACGAAGAAUCUGAUCGUACGCGAUAUUCCAGAAUAAAGGCCCCAACACUGUCCCCUGCGGAACAUCGCGAUAGACCGCCCUUCUAUACUGGAAUUCCGCUUUGAUGCGGAACUCCAGUUGCCUGCUCCGGAAGUAGUCCCUUACCAGAUAGAGAGAAACCCAGUAGUAUGUCUUCUCUAUCCAGUCUCACGACGGCUUUCGAGAGGGAGUGCACGCGUAAAAUUGCGUAAAAUAGUCCUCCCCAGAAGUCGUAUUGCUCCGGGUGGAACAUCGGACUACUCUGGGACACGGGAAAAAAAUAGACCUUUUUUUUCUUUGAUAAGCCAUCAGAAAUGCUUUACGCAUAUCGACCCUCGGAGGAGGAGCGCGGGUUACGUGGGACUCCUCCCCAGGUGAACUCGGGGAGGUUCUACCCAAUAAAAUUGUGGCAGGAUUCGUCUUCAGUGCUUAUCAGAGACGCCCCUGGUACCGCCUGAAUAUUACUUUAGGGACGCCUCUUUGCGUAGUCCUUGAGGACCCAUCCUCGGGCCGGGAGAUGAUUCGACCUGUCGUCCGACCUUCCUUUGACAGCGGCGUAGUGCGACCAUAAUAUCACACCGCUUCCAUUCCGGACCGCUACUGCAGGGAGGAUGCACCGCCGUAUACCUCUCCCCCCCAGCGGUCGGUGUGGGAGGGGAACCUGUUCGAAACAAGUGUUCGCCCUGGACUCAGGUCCCCCUGGCGCCGGCCGUGAUGUUCAGCCGGCGUCGUGGGCCCCGAUCGUGUUGGUCGGACCGGGGCCUUCACCGCCAGAUUCCCCGGGAAUGACCCCGGGAUCUCUGUCGGCGGCGCCCUUCUCUUUGGCGCCAGGGAGGCAGCCCUCCGGGCGACUUACGGCCCUCUCCUAUCCCGCCGCGUCAUUGGGGGGCCCCCGCCUAUGGCCGCCCCGCCAGCGGCCGUGUUUUGAUCGCUGGCCUUCUUUCUCCACCUAGGGCGCAUGCGGGACCACCCAUGAGGCCGGCCUUCCUCGCGGCAUACCGCGUAGGACGCUCUCUCCGUGCAAUCCCUUGCGGUGUGCCCAGUUUGGUCACACCGGAAGCAAUCCCGACUCCGGUUGGUAGGUCCAGAGCAGAAUGCCCGGCCGUGUCCCCAACAUUUGAAACACUGGGAUGGGCGGUUGGGCAGGAACUCCGCUCCUAUCGUUGUCCACCGCAGUGCCAAUUUCCCUUCCUUAGCGACGGUCGAAACCGCUGUCAGAGGGAACUGCGUCCACGCUGCUUCCAAAUCCCUUGGGUCCCACCGUAUGAGGCGUAGGGGCCCAAACGAACCUCCUCCUCUUGGCAGCCUUUGUUUACCGCAAGGGUUGCCUUGACCUCCGAAGGCAGGACCGACUAAUCUAUCCCGACGAGCCGGAUUUCACCUACCUUCGAAGGUCUGGAGAUACUCGCCUCUGGCACCACUUCGCGGAGCUUUCUGGCGAGGGCCUCCGCAUUGGCCUCCCUGUCCGGGUCGGCCAGUCCAAUAAGAAGGUCGCCAUCAGCAGUCUUCCUGACAAAAGCCGUCCAUCCCCCUAUCUUCUCCAGGGGGAUGACUCCUUUCGUCCUCCUGAAAGUCUCCGCAAAGGUGAAGCCCCCCCCCCAUCUCACCGCCACUACCGUCGUCUUCGGUAGUGACGGGAUCGUUCCUGCUGACCGGUGGGAAGGAGCCAUACGAGAGCGACAGAUCGAUGGACCACUCGACGGCGCUCCCCGAGCCUCCCCCGUCCCCGUUUUGUCUUCCAGAGACGGACCAGCUGGUCCGCCUCUGUUUCUUUUUUUUUCUCCUGGAUGUCUUCCACUCCUCCUCCUCAUGGGGGGUGGGGCAUCCCCUUCAGGGACCACGUUCUUAAUCCUAGGGAGGAGGGGGGGGCGAUAUCCCUGAGAUGGAAUGUCGCCCGGUCUCUCCUUUCCGGGGUGCCUUAGGAAAGGGUGACGUUGCUCUAUCUUUCCUCUCCCUCCCUCUUUUUUCUUUUCCCUUUCCUCUCUCCUUCUCUAUUACUUCCUUCAGCCAGGACACCUCGCCCAUCAAGCGUGCCACCUCUUUCCUUAAGUGUUCCGCCCUGUUAUCUAUUUCCCUUCCUUUCCAUUUUCAUUCUCUUCUUUUCUCGUACAGUUUAGGCCUCCUUCAGUGGACGCCAGGAAAGCUUUCUUCAUAUCCACGAAUUUUCGGACCCAGCUGCAUACCUCCCUGUCUUUUCCCCCAUGCUUCUACAUUUUUUGCGAAUUCCUCCGCCACUUGCCAGCUCUCCUCAAUAUACCUUUGCCUAGUCUUCCAUCCAACUGAUGAUAGACCUCCUCCUUCUCCUCCUCUACAUCAUUCUCAUCCCAGUCCAGAGCCUGAUCCUUGCACUCGGUCUGGGCCUUGUCCUUUUCCUACUGCCUCUCCUUUUUCGUCUCCUUCUCUUUCCUUUCCUCGUCUUUCCUCUUCGCCUUCUUGGGUUGAGGGCAUCCUAUCUCAUUCGGCUGCCGGAGCACCGACGUACAAUGCUUAAUGAGGAUGGGAUUUUCUCCGAGACGAGACGGCAUCCCCGCCCGCCUCGGAGCGGAGGUCCCCCCCCCAAUGAUUUUUUUAUCGAGGUUUACUCCUCUAGGCUGGCGGAAAAGCAGACCCUCUCCUAACAGCCUCAGCUGGCCGGGCAUUUGUAGUCGGGGUUGCCUUUCCCUACCGGCAGUUAGGCCGAAGCCCUAACGGGGUUGCCGGGCCCCGCGCUGUAAUGGUCGAGUUACCCGCACCGGGCGCGCUUCCCUUUCUCUAGUACUCCCGGGCGCAGCUGCCCAUUCGGGAGGGCCUUUUAGUCGUCUCAUACGACACGCAAGCCAUAAGUUGGGGGUAUUCUUAUACUCCCCCACCCACACGAAAAGAACAGACCUUAUAUUUAGGACCAUUAUCACGAAUUUCAUACUGUUUUACUUAGUUAUCAAUAAUUUAAGGGGGAAACCUCCUUUAUCGGGUCAAAAAAAUCGAUAUUUUGGAAAUAGUCUUAAUCGAUUGUUAAACUAUUCAAGAAUAUUCCCUGAAAAUUUCAAGUCGAUAUCUGCAGUAUUUACGAAGUUACGAAGUUAAAGCGGACGGGUCGGGUGACGAGUUCAGACGGGCCUAGCGAUCCUCGGGCGGUCGCGUUUAUACCUGCGUUUUCGGAGCGUGUUUAUACCUGCGUUCGAAAAGUCCGUUGGUAGAAAUUUUAUCUGUCUUCCCUUUCAAACUUGUUUUGACCUACGAUCAGUUCGCUUUCGUCUCUUGUCGAGUGAAUACGUUGCUGAAUGCAGCAUGACUUCGUAUCCGAAAGCGACACACGGGCAGUCCAGACGUUCAACGAGGCCUCGAAAAAGGAAAUCUCCUUGGAGUAAAGAUCAAGAAAAUGAAGCCAAAGAAGAGGAAAUUAGUAAUACGAGUGCUUCCAGUAAAAAACUAAGCAGUAUAAUGUAAUGUAAUGUAAUGUAAUGUAAUGUAAUGUAAUGUUUUUGACGCAGAAGUGAAUAGGGCUCAUGCGUAUAAAAUUAUAGAUUUUCUAAGCGUUUUUCAAACGCUGGCGCAACUGCUUAUAUGUCGAAAGUGCUUGAAAAAUGUCGAAUUUAGAGAAUCGGGAAUUCGUGGUUUCGGUUUUAAGAUAGUUGUGUUGUGUUCUUGUGGCUCUACACAGAUUGAUUCUGGACCUCUUAUAAAUACCGGUUAUGAAAUUAACAGAAGAAUAGUUUUUGUUAUGAGACUUUUAGUCGUCUGCAUUGCUGCGUAUAUUGCUGCAUCGAUAUUUAACGAAGGCUACAAUGCAGUGUUAAUGAUAAUGAACAAAUUGGAUAUCGAAAUUGGGAUCCAGGCACACAAUUUUGCCAUAACGAAGGACGAGAAGCGAAUAAACAGACAGAACCGCCGAAGCUAUAGCAGCUCAAAAGAGACAAGAACGGCUCGUAGGAUGGAGAUGAUGGCUCAAAACGAGUUCUACGAGGAAGUGGAGGGGCUACUUUAUGCAGCUGGAAUCGCUGAUUAGCGUGAGACUGCCAUCAAAAUUAAGGACGCUACAGUGUACACAGCGGAGACACUCCAUAAGCAAAGCGAUAUUAAUAUGGCGUCCGUUUUUAUAGUAAACAUGUUUUUUUUUUGAAAAAAUUCCUGUGUACUCUUUGAUUGUGUAUUAAAUUGUCAUAAAAAUUUCAAAACGUUUCAAGUUAUUAUACCCGAGAAAAAAAUUCGUGAAAAUCAUGUAUUUUUCGACCGUGUAAAGGAGGUUUCCCCCUUAAUGUGGCACAAGACGAAUUUCAAAAUUAUGGAUAUUUGGACAGUUAUGUGGAUGAGUUAAAUGCAGAAAAUAUUGAUCCUGAUAAUGAUCCCAAAGUGUUCGAAGAAAUAUUAAUAUUAGAGGUACAAGAAAGACCAUAUUUAUUGGACCAUAGAUUAAAUAUCCAAAUAAGAGUUAUGAAGUAUGAACAUUAUACGAAAAGCUUGGAAAGAAAUACAGAUCCACACAUUUGCCAAAAAAAAUGGAAAAAUUUACAAGAUACAUUUCUGAGGAAAUAUAAAGAGGAGAAUAGUUAUAUUGCAAGUGGUAGUGCAGCUGCAAACAAACUUAUGACCAAUUGGAAAUAUUAGAAACAAAUGCAGUUUUUAAAAAGUACUACACAACAUAGAAGGACGUUCAGUAUAUAUAAAUGGUUAAAGAUGUAGAUGAAAAAUCACUUGAAUUUUGUCUAAGAAAGAAUGUAGACGCACAACAGAUAUGGAUAAAAGGCAGAACUUCCCCAUCAUUACAAACAAUUCCCACAGCUACUCGGAGUAGAAAUAAAUCUACUAGUAAAUCUACAUUGCUGUCACAACCACCGACAUAAAAUUGCGCAACAUAAUAUUUCUUAUUUACAGUCAACAUCGCCACUCUUCAUCGUCUUCUGUGAUAUAUAGUACAAUAAAAAGAAAAAAAUUUGAAGAAACUAUUAAUACUAUUUCUAAAUCUAAAAACUCAUGGUGACGAGACAUUUCGUCUUGUCACGACGACCCGACCGAACAGCAGUCGGGUCGUCUAACAGGCGCGAAGCGCCAAAUAAAUAAAACAUAUGCCGCCGCCGAAUCGCGACGCCGCCGGAUAUUCCCUCGCGUGGGGGAACGGCGUACGCACCGAAAGCGCACAGCGACGAGUAUAUAAGCGCCGCACGAUAAGGAUAAAGCACUAGUCCUGAGGCGAGCGUACUCAUCCGCAGUACGAUCACCAUUCCUACCUCCUCGCUGGCUCACACCAGCAUCCUGACCCCCGACCAGGAAGGUGCGCUAAUCACCUGGACGGACACCCGCUCUCUGGUAGGCACGGAACCCGAAGUGGCGCGCUCACCGCCUUGGUCAAGCGCUCCUGACCUCCCUGUCGACCAGAGAAGUAGGUAUAGUA